CCUACGGGGGGCUGCAGUGGGGAAUAUUGGACAAUGGGGGCAACCCUGAUCCAGCCAUGCCGCGUGUGUGAAGAAGGCCCUCGGGUUGUAAAGCACUUUCAGUGAGGAAGAACGCCUGGUGGUUAAUACCCAUCAGGAAAGACAUCACUCACAGAAGAAGCACCGGCUAACUCCGUGCCAGCAGCCGCGGUAAUACGGAGGGUGCGAGCGUUAAUCGGAAUUACUGGGCGUAAAGCGCGCGUAGGUGGCUUGAUAAGCCGGUUGUGAAAGCCCCGGGCUCAACCUGGGAACGGCAUCCGGAACUGUCAAGCUAGAGUGCAGGAGAGGAGGGUAGAAUUCCCGGUGUAGCGGUGAAAUGCGUAGAGAUCGGGAGGAAUACCAGUGGCGAAGGCGGCCUUCUGGACUGACACUGACACUGAGGUGCGAAAGCGUGGGUAGCAAACAGGAUUAGAUACCCGAGUAGUC
RNAcentral lists this ribosomal RNA (465 nucleotides) under Vreelandella stevensii. RNAcentral describes it as "partial 16S ribosomal RNA". It matches the Rfam family "Bacterial small subunit ribosomal RNA", at positions 338 to 795 of the family's 1533-position model. Lineage: Bacteria; Pseudomonadati; Pseudomonadota; Gammaproteobacteria; Oceanospirillales; Halomonadaceae. The record is from RNAcentral.